This 412-nucleotide ribosomal RNA is filed under the name Verrucomicrobiota bacterium. RNAcentral's name for it is "Verrucomicrobia bacterium partial 16S ribosomal RNA". It matches the Rfam family "Bacterial small subunit ribosomal RNA", at positions 355 to 776 of the family's 1533-position model. The record is from RNAcentral. Lineage: Bacteria; Pseudomonadati; Verrucomicrobiota.
UGGGGAAUAUUGCGCAAUGGGGGAAACCCUGACGCAGCGACGCCGCGUGCGGGAUGAAGGCCUUCGGGUUGUAAACCGCUUUUGAUUGGGAGCAAGCCUUUUGGGUGAGUGUACCUUUCGAAUAAGCGCCGGCUAACUACGUGCCAGCAGCCGCGGUAAUACGUAGGGCGCGAGCGUUGUCCGGAAUUAUUGGGCGUAAAGAGCUCGUAGGCGGUUUGUCGCGUCUGCUGUGAAAGACCGGGGCUUAACUCCGGGGCUGCAGUGGGUACGGGCAGGCUGGAGUGCGGUAGGAGUAACCGGAAUUCCUGGUGUAGCAGUGGAAUGCGCAGAUAUCAGGGGGAACACCGAUGGCGAAGGCAGGUUACUGGGCCGUUACUGACGCUGGGGAGCGAAAGCAUGGGGAGCGAACAGG